AUACGGAGGGUGCAAGCGUUGUUCGGAAUUACUGGGCGUAAAGCGCACGUAGGCGGAUUAAAAAGUUAGAGGUGAAAUCCCAGGGCUUAACCCUGGAACUGCCUUUAAAACUAGUAGUCUAGAGUUCGAGAGAGGUGAGUGGAAUUCCAAGUGUAGAGGUGAAAUUCGUAGAUAUUUGGAGGAACACCAGUGGCGAAGGCGGCUCACUGGCUCGAUACUGACGCUGAGGUGCGAAAGCGUGGGGAGCAAACAGGAUUAGAAACCCGAGUAGUCC
RNAcentral lists this ribosomal RNA (274 nucleotides) under uncultured bacterium. RNAcentral's name for it is "partial 16S ribosomal RNA". It matches the Rfam family "Bacterial small subunit ribosomal RNA", at positions 523 to 796 of the family's 1533-position model. The record is from RNAcentral.